This 28-nucleotide small RNA is filed under the name Bombyx mori (domestic silkworm). RNAcentral describes it as "ovarian small RNA-13617". The record is from RNAcentral. Lineage: Eukaryota; Metazoa; Arthropoda; Insecta; Lepidoptera; Bombycidae.
CCCAAUCAGGAAAUGUCCAGGGGUGAGC